Long non-coding RNA from Mercenaria mercenaria, 542 nucleotides. RefSeq lists it as uncharacterized. The record is from RefSeq and is a predicted model, not a curated record. The transcript has 4 exons. Lineage: Eukaryota; Metazoa; Mollusca; Bivalvia; Venerida; Veneridae.
AAGUAAACGGAUAUGCUAAUAUCUAAUGUCAUUAUUUGACACGAAUUCCACUUUUUCUACUUCUGAUUCCUGCAGAUUGUGGAACAUUGAAGAUAGCGGACGGAAGCUUUACAGCAACAUCGGGAACAACUUAUGGAAAGAAUGCCACACUUUCUUGUGACGUUGGAUAUUUCUUGUCGGGAAAUUCUCUGAUUACUUGUACAGAAUCUGGUUGGGAUGGAGGUGUAACUUGCUCACCGAUAGAUUGCGGAAAUCCAACACCACAAUAUGCAACUGCAAAUAGCACGGUGUACACAUAUGGGUCUGUUAUAAAGAUAACUUGUAACGCUGGUUUAUUCAUAACCGGAAGUUCAAGCAUAUAUUGCAGAGCAGACGGUGCCUGGAGUGAUAGUCCCACUUGUGGUUGUCUUAGCGGCCAACAGAUGUACCAAACAUCCUGUUAUAAAGUCAUCACGCAGAAGCAGGCAUGGAAUCAGGCAAAGACAGAUUGUGAAGCUAUAGGUGGACAUCUGGUGGAUGUGAACUCGGAUGGGGAGCAACAG